Molecule: long non-coding RNA, 990 nt
Filed under: Equus caballus (horse)
Lineage: Eukaryota; Metazoa; Chordata; Mammalia; Perissodactyla; Equidae
Description: lncRNA (ENSECAG00000052210.1)
Source: RNAcentral
GUGACUGAAGUGCCUAUCUGUGCAGCCUGCAGUCGAGUAGCAGGGAUGUUGGGUCAAUGUUAGUCCCUGCAGAGGUUUCAGCGGAGGAUGCUAAAAAGGCGGAGGGACCACAGUUACUUGAAUGUAAGCGCCAGAAGAUAAGGAACCUUGUCUGUCCUGUUUCCCAUGAUACACCUAGCGCCCGGAAGAACGCAUGGAAUAAAGCAACACUCAGUAUAGUUUGUGGGAUGAAUAAAUUGUUACCGGAAACGAGAAGCAGCCAGAUAGGUCAAAAUAAUUUCAAGAUUGAAAGCUUGACCAAGAUAAUCAGGUGCUGGGCGCUCAUCGGAACAAGAUGGGCAGAGUCUCCGUGGUCAUGGAUCUAGGAGAGACAAGACAAAAACACUAAGUAAACUGAAGAUGAACAAGGCAACUACAAAUUGUGGCAAAUGUCAUGAAGAAACAAGAGAGCAAGAAAGAGAAACUUUAGAAAAGGAUAAAUUACAGGGGGCUGGCCUGGUGAUGCAGCGGUUAAGUGCGCACGUUCCGCUUCAGUGGCCCAAGGUUCGCCAGUUCAGAUCCCGGGUGUGGACAUGGCACUGCUUAUCAAGCCAUGCUGUGACAAGAAGUCCCCUUCUGCCAAAAUAAGACUGAAAACCAAAUAAAAAGUGCUUCUUUCACUCCGCCUUAACCUUCACUUUAUCUGAGGAGGUUCCGAAUUUCAAACAGAUGCCGUCACUCCCGAAUAGUGAUAGAUUUAGCCGAUCUGCCUUCUUCAAGUCCCAGCCUUUGUUUAAAUUGCAGGUCCUUCUAGUUGUGGCAUGUGGGACGCCGCCUCAGCGUGGCCUAAGGAGCGGUGCCAUGUCCGCACCCAGGAUCCAAACCAGCGAACCCCAGGCCACCGAAGCAUAACGUGCACACUUAACCUCUUUGCCACUGGGUGGACCCCCAAUUUCCCCACUUUCUAUUGUUAAAUUGUGUUAUGCUCUUCCUCCAAAAAACAUGUGUUUG